UGGGUAACCUGCCCUUAACUCUGGGAUAAGCCUGGGAAACUGGGUCUAAUACCGGAUAUGACUCCUCAUCGCAUGGUGGGGGGUGGAAAGCUUUAUUGUGGUUUUGGAUGGACUCGCGGCCUAUCAGCUUGUUGGUGAGGUAAUGGCUCACCAAGGCGACGACGGGUAGCCGGCCUGAGAGGGUGACCGGCCACACUGGGACUGAGACACGGCCCAGACCUCCGUACGGGAGGCAG
This 236-nucleotide ribosomal RNA is filed under the name uncultured bacterium. RNAcentral's name for it is "partial 16S ribosomal RNA". It matches the Rfam family "Bacterial small subunit ribosomal RNA", at positions 118 to 351 of the family's 1533-position model. The record is from RNAcentral.